RNAcentral lists this ribosomal RNA (433 nucleotides) under uncultured bacterium. Its description in RNAcentral is "partial 16S ribosomal RNA". It matches the Rfam family "Bacterial small subunit ribosomal RNA", at positions 29 to 507 of the family's 1533-position model. The record is from RNAcentral.
AACGAACGCUGGCGGCAUGCCUAACACAUGCAAGUCGAACGAGACCUUCGGGUCUAUUGGCGCACGGGUGCGUAACGCGUGGGAACCUGCCCUUAGGUUCGGAAUAACUCCCCGAAAGGGGUGCUAAUACCGGAUAAUGUCUUCGGACCAAAGAUUUAUCGAAUUUGGAUGGGACCGCGUUGGAUUAGCUAGUUGGUAGGGUAAAAGCCUACCAAGGCGACGAUCCAUAGAUGGUCUGAGAGGAUGAUCAGCCACACUGGGACUGAGACACGGCCCAGACUCCUACGGGAGGCAGCAGUGGGGAAUAUUGGACAAUGGGCGAAAGCCUGAUCCAGCAAUGCCGCGUGAGUGAUGAAGGCCUUAGGGUUGUAAAGCUCUUUUACCCGGGAUGAUAAUGACAGUACCGGGAGAAUAAGCUCCGGCUAACUCCGUG